RNAcentral lists this ribosomal RNA (857 nucleotides) under uncultured Planctomycetota bacterium. Its description in RNAcentral is "bacterial SSU rRNA". It matches the Rfam family "Bacterial small subunit ribosomal RNA". The record is from RNAcentral. Lineage: Bacteria; Pseudomonadati; Planctomycetota.
GGCAUGCAGUCGAACGAAUCCCACCUGGGCAACUGGGUGGGGGAAGUGGCGAAAGGGGCAGUAAGGCGUGGGUAACCUCCCCCGGGGACCGGCAUAGCCCUCCUAACGGAGGGGUAAUUCCGGGUAAUAUGAUCUGCUCGCAUGGGCGGGUCAUGAGAUGAGUUUCGCCUCGGGACGGGCUCACGUGGUAUUAGCUGGACGGCGGGGUAACGGCCCACCGUGGCAAAGAUGCCUAGCAGGUGUGAGAGCACGACCUGCGCCACUGGCACUGAGACACUGGCCAGACUCCUACGGGAGGCUGCAGUCGAGGAUCUUCGGCAAUGGGCGCAAGCCUGACCGAGCGACGCCGCGUGUGCGAUGAAGGCCUUCGGGUUGUAAAGCACUGUCGAGGGGGAGGAAAGCCGCAAGGCCUGACCUAUCCCUGGAGGAAGCACGGGCUAAGUUCGUGCCAGCAGCCGCGGUAAGACGAACCGUGCGAACGUUGUUCGGAAUCACUGGGCUUAAAGGGCGCGUAGGCGGCUCGUCCAGUCGGGGGUGAAAUCUUUCGGCUCAACCGGAAAAGGGCCCCCGAUACUGACGGGCUCGAGCGAGGUAGGGGCAAGGGGAACUUCCGGUGGAGCGGUGAAAUGCGUUGAUAUCGGAAGGAACGCCGGUGGCGAAAGCGCCCUGCUGGACCUCACCUGACGCUGAGGCGCGAAAGCCAGGGGAGCAAACGGGAUUAGAUACUGAUGUGUCCCCCACCUGGGCAACCAGGUGGUGCGCAUCCGGCUAUAUCGGGGGAACUCUCGCACUCGCGAGACAAUCCCGACGGAAGUCGUCCUCUUCGGAGGAUGACCCGCUAGAGACUACACGCCGGA